Molecule: ribosomal RNA, 484 nt
Filed under: uncultured bacterium
Lineage: Bacteria
Description: partial 16S ribosomal RNA
Rfam family: Bacterial small subunit ribosomal RNA
Source: RNAcentral
AUUGAACGCUGGCGGCAUGCUUUACACAUGCAAGUCGAACGGCAGCGCGAGCUUCGGCCUGGCGGCGAGUGGCGAACGGGUGAGUAAUUCAUCGGAACGUGCCCAGUAGUUGGGGAUAGCCCGGCGAAAGCCGGAUUAAUACCGCAUACGACCUGAUGUUGAAAGCGGGGGACCGAAAGGCCUCGCGCUAUUUGAUCUGCCGAUGUCGGAUUAGCUAGUUGGUGGGGUAAAGGCUUACCAAGGCGACGAUCCGUAGCUGGUCUGAGAGGACGACCAGCCACACUGGGACUGAGACACGGCCCAGACUCCUACGGGAGGCAGCAGUGGGGAAUUUUGGACAAUGGGGGCAACCCUGAUCCAGCCAUGCCGCGUGAGGGAAGAAGGCCUUCGGGUUGUAAAACGCUUUUGUUAGGGAAGAAAUCAUCUGGGCUAAUCCCCCGGGGGGAUGACGGUACCGGAAGAAUAAGCACCGGCUAACUACGUG